AUUGAACGCUGGCGGAAUGCUUUACACAUGCAAGUCGAGCGGCAGCGCGGGGGCAACCCUGGCGGCGAGCGGCGAACGGGUGAGUAAUACAUCGGAACGUGUCCUUGAGUGGGGGAUAGCUCGGCGAAAGCCGGAUUAAUACCGCAUAAGCUCUGCGGAGGAAAGCGGGGGACUGGUAACGGCCUCGCGCUGUUGGAGCGGCCGAUGUCGGAUUAGCUAGUUGGUGGGGUAAAGGCCCACCAAGGCGAUGAUCCGUAGCUGGUCUGAGAGGAUGAUCAGCCACACUGGAACUGAGACACGGUCCAGACUCCUACGGGAGGCAGCAGUGGGGAAUUUUGGACAAUGGGGGCAACCCUGAUCCAGCCAUUCCGCGUGAGUGAAGAAGGCC
Molecule: ribosomal RNA, 388 nt
Filed under: uncultured bacterium
Lineage: Bacteria
Description: bacterial SSU rRNA
Rfam family: Bacterial small subunit ribosomal RNA
Source: RNAcentral